CAAGGAAAGAGUUUUGUAUAAUUUUUUGUUUUAUUUUAUUAAUUUCACCAAAAUCCUUUCUAUUAUGUGUUUUGACUUAUUUUUAUGAUUAUUUUUAUGUUAUGUCAACAUUAUUUAACAUUGUUUUCAGAAUGAGGUAACCUUAUUUAUUAAUUUUGGCUUCACAUUUUAUGGUUAUUUUAUUCUCAUAGUCAGCACUUUUAUUUUGAAGUUCCAUGAUGUCGGUUGUGAUGUCAGAUCCGCCUCUCCUCAGUGAUCGUUAACCUGAUGGAGAGCGGUAAGUGUUUGAAAUAGCUUAAACUAAAAAGUUCAUUUUUUAAGUUUUAAGUGUAGUUGGAAGCAGUUAAAUUUGAGAAUAUUGGUCUGUGAUGUGUUUGUAAAGGUUUUAGGUCAUGUAUGGUUUGUUGUUCAUCUGCACGUUGAACGAAGAGAGCAAGCUAGCUUGCCGGAGCUCUCCCUGUGGGUGUGUGUGUGGGUGCGGAGGGGUGCGUCUAAGCGCACAUGUUAAUUCAUCUCUCCUUAUCUUUGUUUCUUUGUUUUUGUGUGUUAGGUAGCCGGUCGUGGAAAUGUGUAAACGCUCACACUCAGAAUGUCACAUUACAGAUUGUGGGGAACAGAAUAAAGAAAAUUCACGUGGCAGCAUC
This is a long non-coding RNA of Seriola aureovittata, 644 nucleotides long. RefSeq lists it as uncharacterized. NCBI's taxonomy places the organism in Eukaryota, Metazoa, Chordata, Actinopteri, Carangiformes, Carangidae. The transcript is spliced from 2 exons. The record is from RefSeq and is a predicted model, not a curated record.